UUGACCUCGGAUCAGGUAGGAAUACCCGCUGAACUUAAGCAUAUCAAUAAGCGGAGGUA
Molecule: ribosomal RNA, 59 nt
Filed under: Colletotrichum gloeosporioides
Lineage: Eukaryota; Fungi; Ascomycota; Sordariomycetes; Glomerellales; Glomerellaceae
Description: partial 28S ribosomal RNA
Rfam family: Eukaryotic large subunit ribosomal RNA
Source: RNAcentral